GAUGAACGCUGGCGGCGUGCCUAAUACAUGCAAGUCGAGCGAACAGACGAGGAGCUUGCUCCUCUGACGUUAGCGGCGGACGGGUGAGUAACACGUGGAUAACCUACCUAUAAGACUGGGAUAACUUCGGGAAACCGGAGCUAAUACCGGAUAACAUGUUGAACCGCAUGGUUCAACAGUGAAAGACGGUCUUGCUGUCACUUAUAGAUGGAUCCGCGCCGCAUUAGCUAGUUGGUAAGGUAACGGCUUACCAAGGCAACGAUGCGUAGCCGACCUGAGAGGGUGAUCAGCCACACUGGAACUGAGACACGGUCCAGACUCCUACGGGAGGCAGCAGUGGGGAAUCUUCCGCAAUGGGCGAAAGCCUGACGGAGCAACGCCGCGUGAGUGAAGAAGGUCUUCGGAUCGUAAAACACUGUUAUUAGGGAAGAACAAAUGUGAAAGUAACUAUGCGCGUCUUGACGGUACCGAAUCAGAAAGCCACGGCUAACUACGUG
Molecule: ribosomal RNA, 497 nt
Filed under: uncultured bacterium
Lineage: Bacteria
Description: partial 16S ribosomal RNA
Rfam family: Bacterial small subunit ribosomal RNA
Source: RNAcentral